GGGGCAACGGGCUUACCAAGGCAAUGAUGCAUAGCCGAGUUGAGAGACUGAUCGGCCACAUUGGGACUUGAGACACGGGCCCAAACUCCUACGGGAGGCAGCAGUAGGGGAAUCUUCCACAAUGGACACAAGUCUGAUGGAGCAAACGCCGCGUGAGUGAAGAAGGGUUUCGGCUCGUAAAGCUCUGUUGGUAGUGAAGAAAGAUAGAGGUAGUAACUGGCCUUUAUUUGACGGUAAUUACUUAGAAAAGUCACGGGCUAACUACGUGCCCAGCAGCCGCGGGUAAAUA
This 289-nucleotide ribosomal RNA is filed under the name uncultured Lactobacillus sp. Its description in RNAcentral is "partial 16S ribosomal RNA". It matches the Rfam family "Bacterial small subunit ribosomal RNA", at positions 254 to 525 of the family's 1533-position model. The record is from RNAcentral. Lineage: Bacteria; Bacillati; Bacillota; Bacilli; Lactobacillales; Lactobacillaceae.